RNAcentral lists this long non-coding RNA (220 nucleotides) under Ananas comosus (pineapple). RNAcentral's name for it is "long non-coding RNA (ACOM_LNC028261)". The record is from RNAcentral. Lineage: Eukaryota; Viridiplantae; Streptophyta; Magnoliopsida; Poales; Bromeliaceae.
UUUUUUCUUAAAAAUGAUAAAUUAUUUACUAUUUUUAUAAAGACGGUAAAUGAUUCGCAGUCUUAUAAAAUUUUCACAAAAACGGUGAAUAAUUCAUCGUCUUUCUCUUCUACUGUUUAAGAUAACGAUGAAUAAUUCACUGCUUUGUAAAAAAUUAUGAAGAAAAUAAAUAAUUUACUAUCUUUUUUUAAGACGGUAAAUAAUUCAUCAUUUUUUUUUU